GACGAACGCUGGCGGCGUGCUUAACACAUGCAAGUCGAACGGAAAGGCCCUGCUUGCAGGGUACUCGAGUGGCGAACGGGUGAGUAACACGUGGGUGAUCUGCCCUGCACUUCGGGAUAAGCCUGGGAAACUGGGGCUAAUACCGGAUAGGUGCCAUUUUUAGUGUGAUGGUUGGAAAGUUUUUUCGGUGUAGGAUGAGCUCGCGGCCUAUCAGCUUGUUGGUGGGGUAAUGGCCUACCAAGGCGGCGACGGGUAGCCGGCCUGAGAGGGUGGACGGCCACAUUGGGACUGAGAGACGGACCAGACUCCUACGGGAGGCAGCAGUGGAGAAUAUUGCACAAUGGGCGCAAGCCUGAUGCAGCGACGCCGCGUGGGGGAUGACGGCCUUCUGGUUGAAAACUCCUUUCGCUAGGGACGAAGCUUUUUGUGACGGUACCUAGAUAAGAAGCACCGGCUAACUACGUG
This 465-nucleotide ribosomal RNA is filed under the name uncultured bacterium. RNAcentral's name for it is "partial 16S ribosomal RNA". It matches the Rfam family "Bacterial small subunit ribosomal RNA", at positions 28 to 507 of the family's 1533-position model. The record is from RNAcentral.